AUUGAACGCUGGCGGCAGGCCUAACACAUGCAAGUCGAACGGUAACAGAAAGCAGCUUGCUGCUUUGCUGACGAGUGGCGGACGGGUGAGUAAUGUCUGGGAAACUGCCUGAUGGAGGGGGAUAACUACUGGAAACGGUAGCUAAUACCGCAUAACGUCGCAAGACCAAAGAGGGGGACCUUCGGGCCUCUUGCCAUCGGAUGUGCCCAGAUGGGAUUAGCUAGUAGGUGGGGUAACGGCUCACCUAGGCGACGAUCCCUAGCUGGUCUGAGAGGAUGACCAGCCACCCUGGAACUGAGACACGGUCCAGACUCCUACGGGAGGCAGCAGUGGGGAAUAUUGCACAAUGGGCGCAAGCCUGAUGCAGCCAUGCCGCGUGUAUGAAGAAGGCCUUCGGGUUGUAAAGUACUUUCAGCGGGGAGGAAGGGAGUAAAGUUAAUACCUUUGCUCAUUGACGUUACCCGCAGAAGAAGCACCGGCUAACUCCGUG
This 490-nucleotide ribosomal RNA is filed under the name uncultured bacterium. Its description in RNAcentral is "partial 16S ribosomal RNA". It matches the Rfam family "Bacterial small subunit ribosomal RNA", at positions 30 to 507 of the family's 1533-position model. The record is from RNAcentral.